Molecule: ribosomal RNA, 433 nt
Filed under: uncultured bacterium
Lineage: Bacteria
Description: partial 16S ribosomal RNA
Rfam family: Bacterial small subunit ribosomal RNA
Source: RNAcentral
AACGAACGCUGGCGGCAUGCCUAACACAUGCAAGUCGAACGAGACCUUCGGGUCUAGUGGCGCACGGGUGCGUAACGCGUGGGAACCUGCCCUUAGGUUCGGAAUAACUCCCCGAAAGGGGUGCUAAUACCGGAUAAUGUCUUCGGACCAAAGAUUUAUCGCCUUUGGAUGGGCCCGCGUUGGAUUAGCUAGUUAGUAGGGUAAAAGCCUACCAAGGCGACGAUCCAUAGCUGGUCUGAGAGGAUGAUCAGCCACACUGGGACUGAGACACGGCCCAGACUCCUACGGGAGGCAGCAGUGGGGAAUAGUGGACAAUGGGCGAAAGCCUGAUCCAGCAAUGCCGCGUGAGUGAUGAAGGCCUUAGGGUUGUAAAGCUCUUUUACCCGGGAUGAUAAUGACAGUACCGGGAGAAUAAGCUCCGGCUAACUCCGUG